Molecule: ribosomal RNA, 477 nt
Filed under: Scolopendra morsitans
Lineage: Eukaryota; Metazoa; Arthropoda; Chilopoda; Scolopendromorpha; Scolopendridae
Description: partial 16S ribosomal RNA
Rfam family: Bacterial large subunit ribosomal RNA
Source: RNAcentral
GGCUCCAAGAUUUCUAUUUGGAGUCGGACCUGCACAAUGUUUGAAUAAAUUGCUGCGGUAUAUUGACCGUGCGAAGGUAGCAUAAUAAUUAGGCUAUUAAUUGUAGUCUUGGAUGAAUGGUUUGACUUGGGAAAGACUUUCUUAAUUUUAAUGAUGAAAUUAAAUUGUUAGUAAGAAUGCUAACAUGAAUUAUAAAGACGAGAAGACCCUGUUGAGUUUUAUAUUUAUGUGCUUUAUUUAAUGGAGUUAUUGGUAAGCAUUCUAAUAUUUGGUUGGGGCGAUUCUGUUAAUAAACAUUAGAAGAUCCAUUAAUAAUGAUUAAUUGAAUAAAUUACCACAGGGAUAACAGCAUAAUUUCAUAGGAGAGUUCUAAUCGAUUGUGAAGUUUGUGACCUCGAUGUUGAAUUAAGAUACCUUUAGGGCGUAGGGGCUUAAAUGAGGUAGACUGUUCGUCUAUUAAAAUCUUACAUGAUCUGA